UGCUUUGGACUUUUGCUCCAUUCCAAGUCCUUUGGAAAAGGGCAUCAUAGAGAGUGAAAAUCUCGUAGGAUUGGAUGCACUGUCCGUGUAAAGCUCCUUCGAAGAGUCGAGUUGUUUGGGAAUGCAGCUCUAAGUGGGACGUAAAUUUGUUCCAAAGCUAAAUAUCAGCUAGAGACCGAUAGCGCACAAGUAGAGUGAUCGAAAGAUGAAAAGCACUUUGAAAAGAGAGUUAAAAAGCACGUGAAAUUGUUGAAAGGGAAGCUCAUGCAGCCAGACAUGAUUUCGAGGCUCAGCCUUAUGGUGUAUUCUUCGAAGUCAGGCUAGCAUCAGUUUGGACAGAUGGAUAAAAGU
Molecule: ribosomal RNA, 351 nt
Filed under: Nigrovothelium tropicum
Lineage: Eukaryota; Fungi; Ascomycota; Dothideomycetes; Trypetheliales; Trypetheliaceae
Description: eukaryotic LSU rRNA
Rfam family: Eukaryotic large subunit ribosomal RNA
Source: RNAcentral